ACAGAGUUUGAUCCUGGCUCAGAUUGAACGCUGGCGGCAGGCCUAACACAUGCAAGUCGAACGGUAACAGGAAACAGCUUGCUGUUUCGCUGACGAGUGGCGGACGGGUGAGUAAUGUCUGGGAAACUGCCUGAUGGAGGGGGAUAACUACUGGAAACGGUAGCUAAUACCGCAUAACGUCGCAAGACCAAAGAGGGGGACCUUCGGGCCUCUUGCCAUCGGAUGUGCCCAGAUGGGAUUAGCUAGUAGGUGGGGUAACGGCUCACCUAGGCGACGAUCCCUAGCUGGUCUGAGAGGAUGACCAGCCACACUGGAACUGAGACACGGUCCAGACUCCUACGGGAGGCAGCAGUGGGGAAUAUUGCACAAUGGGCGCAAGCCUGAUGCAGCCAUGCCGCGUGUAUGAAGAAGGCCUUCGGGUUGUAAAGUACUUUCAGCGGGGAGGAAGGGAGUAAAGUUAAUACCUUUGCUCAUUGACGUUACCCGCAGAAGAAGCACCGGCUAACUCCGUGCCAGCAGCCGCGGUAAUACGGAGGGUGCAAGCGUUAAUCGGAAUUACUGGGCGUAAAGCGCACGCAGGCGGUUUGUUAAGUCAGAUGUGAAAUCCCCGGGCUCAACCUGGGAACUGCAUCUGAUACUGGCAAGCUUGAGUCUCGUAGAGGGGGGUAGAAUUCCAGGUGUAGCGGUGAAAUGCGUAGAGAUCUGGAGGAAUACCGGUGGCGAAGGCGGCCCCCUGGACGAAGACUGACGCUCAGGUGCGAAAGCGUGGGGAGCAAACAGGAUUAGAUACCCUGGUAGUCCACGCCGUAAACGAUGUCGACUUGGAGGUUGUGCCCUUGAGGCGUGGCUUCCGGAGCUAACGCGUUAAGUCGACCGCCUGGGGAGUACGGCCGCAAGGUUAAAACUCAAAUGAAUUGACGGGGGCCCGCACAAGCGGUGGAGCAUGUGGUUUAAUUCGAUGCAACGCGAAGAACCUUACCUGGUCUUGACAUCCACRGAASUUUYCAGAGAUGRRWWKGUGCCUUCGGGAACYGUGAGACAGGUGCUGCAUGGCUGUCGUCAGCUCGUGUUGUGAAAUGUUGGGUUAAGUCCCGCAACGAGCGCAACCCUUAUCCUUUGUUGCCAGCGGUCCGGCCGGGAACUCAAAGGAGACUGCCAGUGAUAAACUGGAGGAAGGUGGGGGAUGACGUCAAGUCAUCAUGGCCCUUACGACCAGGGCUACACACGUGCUACAAUGGCGCAUACAAAGAGAAGCGACCUCGCGAGAGCAAGCGGACCUCAUAAAGUGCGUCGUAGUCCGGAUUGGAGUCUGCAACUCGACUCCAUGAAGUCGGAAUCGCUAGU
This 1344-nucleotide ribosomal RNA is filed under the name Escherichia coli O124:H-. Its description in RNAcentral is "bacterial SSU rRNA". It matches the Rfam family "Bacterial small subunit ribosomal RNA", at positions 1 to 1339 of the family's 1533-position model. Lineage: Bacteria; Pseudomonadati; Pseudomonadota; Gammaproteobacteria; Enterobacterales; Enterobacteriaceae. The record is from RNAcentral.